AAGAUUAAGCCAUGCAUGUCUAAGUAUAAGCAAACUAUACCGUGAAACUGCGAAUGGCUCAUUAUAUCAGUUAUCGUUUAUUUGAUAGUACCUUACUACUUGGAUACCUGUGGUAAUUCUAGAGCUAAUACAUGCUAAAAACCUCAACUUCGGAAGGGGUGUAUUUAUUAGAUUGUAAANNNNNNNNGUCUNAACUCCUUGGUGAUUCAUGAUAACUUAUCGACUCGCAUGGCCUUCGGCUGGCGAUGGUUCAUUCAAUCAUCUGCCCUAUCAACUAUCAAUCGUAGUAUAGAGGACUACGAUGGUUUCUACGGGUAGUCACUGUUGCCCGUAGUAGACACGUCCGGGCCCCCAAGGGGUCUCGGCAACACCACUGGUUUGGAAGAUACGAUGUUGAUUCCGGGGCGACUCCCUGCGGGACCGCCCGAACGCAUGCAAAGUGGUGGGCUCCUCUCUGGGGAGCUUUUGGUACAUGCUGCCCCUGUGGCCGCUGCGUAGCAGGGGGUACAUGAACGGGGAAUUAGGGUUCUAUUCCGGAGAGGGAGCCUGAGAAACGGCUACCACAUCCAAGGAAGGCAGCAGGCGCGCAAAUUACCCAAUCCCGACACGGGGAGGUAGUGACAAUAAAUACUGAUGCAGAGCUCUUUUGGGUUUUGCAAUUGGAAUGAGUACAAUCUAAAUCCCUUAACGAGGAACAAUUGGAGGGCAAGUCUGGUGCCAGCAGCCGCGGUAAUUCCAGCUCCAAUAGCGUAUAUUAAAGUUGUUGCAGUUAAAAAGCUCGUAGUUGAAACUUGGGCCUGGCUGUCCGGUCCGCCUCACCGCGUGCACUGGUUCGGCCGGGCCUUUCCUUCUGGGGAUGCGCAUGGACUUCAACUGUCUGUGUUGUGGAACCAGGACUUUUACUUUGAAAAAAUUAGAGUGUUCAAAGCAGGCAUAUGCUCGAAUACAUUAGCAU
RNAcentral lists this ribosomal RNA (955 nucleotides) under Cheiromycina petri. RNAcentral describes it as "SSU rRNA". It matches the Rfam family "Eukaryotic small subunit ribosomal RNA", at positions 40 to 810 of the family's 1831-position model. Lineage: Eukaryota; Fungi; Ascomycota. The record is from RNAcentral.